AAGUCGUAACAAGGUAACCGUAGGUGAACCUGCGGUUGGAUCAUUAAUAAUAUUAGAAAGGUCUUCAAGACCUUUCCUACAUUAUGUGAAUCGUUUAUUGUCUCUGGCGAGUUCUGCUCGCAUUAAACUUUGUAUUAAAUUAUUGUCUAAAAAGCUUUUUAUUAAAUUAAAAACAACUUUUAACAACGGAUCUCUAGGCUCUC
This 203-nucleotide unclassified non-coding RNA is filed under the name fungal sp. RNAcentral describes it as "partial internal transcribed spacer region". The stretch from base 1 to 46 matches the Rfam family "Eukaryotic small subunit ribosomal RNA", at positions 1786 to 1831 of the family's 1831-position model. The record is from RNAcentral. Lineage: Eukaryota; Fungi.